UACGGAGGGGGCUAGCGUUGUUCGGAAUUACUGGGCGUAAAGCGCACGUAGGCGGCUUUGUAAGUUAGAGAUGAAAGCCCGGGGCUCAACUCCGGAAUUGCCUUUAAGACUGCAUCGCUAGAAUUGUGGAGAGGUAAGUGGAAUUCCGAGUGUAGAGGUGAAAUUCGUAGAUAUUCGGAAGAACACCAGUGGCGAAGGCGACUUACUGGACACAUAUUGACGCUGAGGUGCGAAAGCGUGGGGAGCAAACAGG
Molecule: ribosomal RNA, 253 nt
Filed under: uncultured bacterium
Lineage: Bacteria
Description: partial 16S ribosomal RNA
Rfam family: Bacterial small subunit ribosomal RNA
Source: RNAcentral